CACAAGGAAGGCUCGCGCCCAACAGUCCUCAGGUCGUUAUUUGGGUGCUGAAGGCACAAGGGUUCAGAUCUGGGUUGAAGACACCCUGCCCUAGGUACCAGCUGGAGAUGUUUUGUCACUUCCGGGACGCUGGAGGUGGAGAGAGUCACUUGAGGGAGUUUCUGCUGUUCUUGCUGAUGAUUUUGCUACUUUGCUUACAGGUGUAGAGAACCUGGCUCAGUGGACAACGGCUGCCCAGGACCCAUUUUGCUGUUUUCGGAAUUCUUUUCUGAAAGGUGAGCAGGCUGCCCAGUACACAACCUCACGGCUGGGGGAAACUGGCUCUCACCUGUAUCUGGAAGUGUGGGGAUGCUGACUGCACAGGCUCAUAGAUGCAAUGAGGACCACCUGUACAUAAGGCUUCCUAAGUCAGCUGACUCUGAUCCCAUCAUUACAAUGAGUUACCAUGACUGCUUCAAACAUGAGAUCCACCAUCUCUCUGGGUCUUCGGCUGCCUGUCCUCAGUCUUGCCCAUGGGACCUGUGUGGUUUAUCCUAUGAGAAGAGAAGACUCUGCCCUCUGGUGUGGUACUGUCCUGCUGUCACAUUAUCUCACCCCUCUUGCCCUCCCUCCCCCACUCCCCCAGCUCCCCGGGUGUAACAACCCAUCAGACAGCUGCACGUCCAAGUGGGGAUGAACCUCGCAGAUGUUAAAUCAAGGAAGUUGCAUACCUAACCACUGCAUUUGAAGAUGGUGAGACCCAAGCAGUGCUGAAGUACAUCAUGGCAGGAGGCACAUUUAGGGGGUGAACGCUAAAGACAGUGAGGAAAGGAUGGUGGGAGCAAGAGAGGAUCAGUCUCAGAGGAAGGAAGUGGGAAAGGUGGACCAGGCUCCUGGCAGGGUCCUGUUUUCUUCUCUAAGUGGUGUAUGCACAUGGUUGCUCAGCGAGUCAUAAACUACAUUGUUAGUCUGUAUACACUCACAAGUAAGCUAUAGUUAACUAAAGUCAAUUCAAAGGAAAAAAAACAAAAAACAAAAAGCGAGGAAAGGAACAACUCAAAACCAUGAUCAAACCUCUUCACAGUUGUCAACAUGUCAGCAUGGUUAGCCCAUCUCUGCCCACACCAGCCUCAUCGCUCUCCCGACCCCUAGACCUAGCCUCAGAAUGACAGUCGGGACAGAAUCCAGCAUAACCAUAACUCUCAUCCAAUGCCUUUUUUUUUUUUUUUUUUUACUUGAGGGAGGGUCUUCCUGUGUAGCACAGGUUGGUAACAAAGUCACCAUCCAGGAAAAUCACCCUCCAGAUCUAGGAUUCCAGGAGCGCACCAGUGCACCCAGCAACCUAUAUGACUUCUUUAAACCUUGCAGUCUCUGCCCACCAUGGCCUAAACUCAUGAAGCCAGAAUUCUCAAUGAGCCCU
This 1399-nucleotide long non-coding RNA is filed under the name Mus spicilegus (steppe mouse). RNAcentral's name for it is "lncRNA (ENSMSIG00000015705.1)". Lineage: Eukaryota; Metazoa; Chordata; Mammalia; Rodentia; Muridae. The record is from RNAcentral.